GGUUUGAUUAUGGCUCAGGACGAACGCUGGCGGCGUGCCUAAUACAUGCAAGUCGAACGAACUCUGGUAUUGAUUGGUGCUUGCAUCAUGAUUUACAUUUGAGUGAGUGGCGAACUGGUGAGUAACACGUGGGAAACCUGCCCAGAAGCGGGGGAUAACACCUGGAAACAGAUGCUAAUACCGCAUAACAACUUGGACCGCAUGGUCCGAGCUUGAAAGAUGGCUUUGGCUAUCACUUUUGGAUGGUCCCGCGGCGUAUUAGCUAGAUGGUGGGGUAACGGCUCACCAUGGCAAUGAUACGUAGCCGACCUGAGAGGGUAAUCGGCCACAUUGGGACUGAGACACGGCCCAAACUCCUACGGGAGGCAGCAGUAGGGAAUCUUCCACAAUGGACGAAAGUCUGAUGGAGCAACGCCGCGUGAAUGAAGAAGGGUUUCGGCUCGUAAACUCUGUUGUUAAAGAAGAACAUAUCUGAGAGUAACUGUUCAGGUAUUGACGGUAUUUAACCAGAAAGCCACGGCUAACUACGUGCCAGCAGCCGCGGUAAUACGUAGGUGGCAAGCGUUGUCCGGAUUUAUUGGGCGUAAAGCGAGCGCAGGCGGUUUUUUAAGUCUGAUGUGAAAGCCUUCGGCUCAACCGAAGAAGUGCAUCGGAAACUGGGAAACUUGAGUGCAGAAGAGGACAGUGGAACUCCAUGUGUAGCGGUGAAAUGCGUAGAUAUAUGGA
RNAcentral lists this ribosomal RNA (726 nucleotides) under uncultured Lactobacillus sp. RNAcentral describes it as "bacterial SSU rRNA". It matches the Rfam family "Bacterial small subunit ribosomal RNA", at positions 10 to 702 of the family's 1533-position model. Lineage: Bacteria; Bacillati; Bacillota; Bacilli; Lactobacillales; Lactobacillaceae. The record is from RNAcentral.